This 308-nucleotide long non-coding RNA is filed under the name Chrysolophus pictus (golden pheasant). RNAcentral describes it as "lncRNA (ENSCPIG00010010301.1)". Lineage: Eukaryota; Metazoa; Chordata; Aves; Galliformes; Phasianidae. The record is from RNAcentral.
GCUUUUAAGGGGAACCAUGAAGUAAAGACACUGCGAUGAAGUACAGAUACAGAUUGUGAUGACACCGUGGAAGUGCAGUGGCCCUUGCGACUUAAAACUUGGUAUGGUAUAUCCAACAUUUGACUUCGAUGGAAACCACUCUGGCUACAGGAAAGAGCAACUUGAAUUAUACAUCUGAGUUAGAAUUCUCUGAAGAACUUUGGUGGUCUAGCUUUGCUCCUGCUGACUUCAUGCAAGUGGGUGAUAACUGGAAGAUCUUUGAAAAUACUGAACAAGCUUAUACCAGAAUCAUCUCCAGCGAGCUGUAA